UCAACGUUACGAAACAGCGUAACGGUGUUAGAGCAUGGUCACAGCUCACGUACUGUGAGAAUGCGUUUGGCGAGUGAUGGCUGGAAAGAAACGUUGCUGUAUCCUAUCUAUAGGCGGUGUGUGAAGUUUAAAGGGGCGGGCAGUGCAUGGAGCUACAUCCCUGAUUAACAUUCAACAAUUUGAGAACUGAAUCGAAAGCGAGAGACGGCAGCCAGACAAGAAGCUUCCAAAAUCACGCUGCCUCUUGUUGACCUUCUUGACCUGCUACAGGCCGUGUGGUGAAGCCGCCCCCAAAUUGAUGGUCACUGCGGAGUUACAGGAUUUUUAUCCAGUAGUGAAAGGUUCCUCAGUGUGUUGUUUAUCCUAUUCGUGAGCUGUGGAUGGGGUCAAACGCCCUCUUUUGGAAGUCUGCUGUCUGCCAGGGAAUUCCUAGAGGCAUGGCACUCAUCCACAGA
Chiloscyllium plagiosum (whitespotted bambooshark) is the source of this 455-nucleotide long non-coding RNA. RefSeq lists it as uncharacterized. The record is from RefSeq and is a predicted model, not a curated record. NCBI's taxonomy places the organism in Eukaryota, Metazoa, Chordata, Chondrichthyes, Orectolobiformes, Hemiscylliidae.